This 239-nucleotide unclassified non-coding RNA is filed under the name soil metagenome. RNAcentral's name for it is "partial contains 5.8S ribosomal RNA, internal transcribed spacer 2, and large subunit ribosomal RNA". The stretch from base 1 to 115 matches the Rfam family "5.8S ribosomal RNA", at positions 35 to 154 of the family's 154-position model. The record is from RNAcentral.
GAUGAAGAACGUAGCGAAACGCGAUAUUUCUUGUGAAUUGCAGAAGUGAAUCAUCAGUUUUUGAACGCACAUUGCACUUUGGGGUAUCCCCCAAAGUAUACUUGUUUGAGCGUUGUUUCUCUCUUGGAAUUGCUUUGCUCUUCUAAAAUUUCGAAUCAAAUUCGUUUGAAAAACAACACUAUUCAACCUCAGAUCAAGUAGGAUUACCCGCUGAACUUAAGCAUAUCAAUAGCGGAGAA